CCGGCACGGUGGAGUAACACGUAUCCAACCUGCCGUCUACUCUUGGACAGCCUUCUGAAAGGAAAGAUUAAUACAAGAUGGCAUCAUGAGUUCACAUGUUCACAUGAUUAAAGGUAUUCCGGUAGACGAUGGGGAUGCGUUCCAUUAGAUAGUAGGCGGGGUAACGGCCCACCUAGUCUUCGAUGGAUAGGGGUUCUGAGAGGAAGGUCCCCCACAUUGGAACUGAGACACGGUCCAA
Molecule: ribosomal RNA, 238 nt
Filed under: uncultured bacterium
Lineage: Bacteria
Description: partial 16S ribosomal RNA
Rfam family: Bacterial small subunit ribosomal RNA
Source: RNAcentral